UAACGCGUAUGCAAUCUACCUUGUACAGGGGAAUAGCCCAGAGAAAUUUGGAUUAAUGCCCCAUAGUAUAUAACCUUCGCAUGUUGGUUAUAUUAAAGUUCCAACGGUACAAGAUGAGCAUGCGUCCCAUUAGUUAGUUGGUAAGGUAACGGCUUACCAAGACGAUGAUGGGUAGGGGUCCUGAGAGGGAGAUCCCCCACACUGGUACUGAGACACGGACCAGACUCCUACGGGAGGCAGCAGUGAGGAAUAUUGGUCAAUGGUCGCAAGACUGAACCAGCCAUGCCGCGUGCAGGAAGACGGUCCUAUGGAUUGUAAACUGCUUUUAUACAGGAAGAAACCCUCCCACGUGUGGGAGCUUGACGGUACUGUAGGAAUAAGGAUCGGCUAACUCCGUG
This 398-nucleotide ribosomal RNA is filed under the name uncultured bacterium. RNAcentral's name for it is "bacterial SSU rRNA". It matches the Rfam family "Bacterial small subunit ribosomal RNA", at positions 111 to 507 of the family's 1533-position model. The record is from RNAcentral.